Octodon degus (degu) is the source of this 149-nucleotide small nucleolar RNA. The record is from Ensembl. NCBI's taxonomy places the organism in Eukaryota, Metazoa, Chordata, Mammalia, Rodentia, Octodontidae.
UAGCAAAUUUUACCUUAUUGUUAUCAAAGUUCUUAAAUAAAAAAAAAAUGUUACCACUAAGGGAACCAGGUGUGCCAAAGUAAUAGUGGUGAUAGGAAUGUAUCAGCCUCAGAAGCUCCUGAGGUGGCCCUUUAUAUCCUCACACAGUA